CUUCAGUCAGUUGUUAUGGGAAGGUAUCAGGCUCUCAUGCAGCUCUUCUCAUCCUAAUUCUUCUGCUACAUUUCAUGUCUUUUAGAGGUAUCGUUGUUUUACCCUACUUCCAGUCAUCCAUUAAACAAAGUGAACUGGGUAUGUGCUUCAGCGUGGUGAUUGGUAAAGAAGUUAUCUGUCUAUCAACUUAAGCAAGGCACAAUGGGGUGGCAGAACAAUCCAUUCAUCAAUUCUUGGUUCAAAAUGGGCAUUGAAUACAAAUAAUCGGGUGAAGGUGAGGUGUGUGCACGGGGAUAUUUAAGAUUAUCCUGCAGUGACCGUCACUAUUCUAUUUCGACGUCAAAAGAAUAACAUUGAGGCUGUGGUUAGUUCCCGCCUCACCCAUCAACUAAUUUUAGGUACUAAUUGGCCGGCUUUUCCUGACUUGUUAAAGGGGUUGUGUGUGGAUGGGUCAUGUAAUACAGUGGGACAGUGUGGUGUGUGCAAUGCACCGGGCCCAUCUACGUCAUCUCUGCGUCAGGAUGACGUAAGGGAGGGGGAAGCCUUGGCAUCGCUUUGUGUUGGUUCUGGUAGACUACACAACACAAUACCUGGAAACAGUGCCUCUUUGCAACAUCUCAGCAUGUAGUGUUGCUGAGGCACUCUUCAGAAUAAUCUCCUGAGUGGGGAUUCCAAAAGAAAUCCUCACUGAUCAGGGCACUACUUUCAUGUCAUGUACACGACACAAGCUGUACGAUUUAUUGGGUAUCAAAUCGAUUUGGACAAGCGUGUACCAUCCUCAAACAGAUGGCUUGGUCGAACGUUUUAAUUAGACCUUUAAAAAUAUGAUUCGUAAGUUUGUGCACGAAGAUGCUCGGAAUUGGGAUAAGUGGCUCGAACCCAUGUUAUCUGCAGUACGAGAGGUCCCACAAGCCUCCACUGGGUUUUUCCCAUUUGAAUUGUUAUAUGGGCGUGAGCCCCGUGGCAUGUUAGACGUCAUGAAGGAAAAUUGGGAGGAGGGACCUUCACAAAGCAAAAAUAAAAUUCAAUACGUUCUUGACCUGAGAGCAAAACUCCACACACUGGGGCGUCUAUCAUAGGAGAAUUUACUACAGGUGCAAGAACGUCAGUCCCGGCUGUAUACUGGGGAGCUCGGCUAUGGGAGUUUGCACAGGGAGAUAAAGUACUUGUAUUACUACCCACAUCGAGCCCAAAAUUACUCGUGAAGUGGCAAGGGCCCUUUGAGGUCACAUGGUGAGUUGGGGAAGUCGACUAUGAGUUAGUGCAUAUGGAUAGGUCUCAUCACAUUUACCACCUCAACCUACUAAAACCAUGGAGAGAGGCAGUCCCCGUAUCCUUGGUGAUGGUAGUUCCAGAGAGGGAGCUCAGUCUGGAGGUGAGUCUAAAAGCCAAUCAGUUCACUCCAGUCCCUUGUGGAGACCACCUCUCGCCGUCACAAUGUACAGAGGUUGCCAGAUUGCAAAAAAGUUUCUCUGACGUGUUCUCGCCUCUCCCCGGCUGCACUAAUCUCAUAGAACACCACAUUGAGACAACCCCAGGGGUAGUGGUAUGUAGUCGGCCCUAACGCUUACCUGAACACAAGAAACAGGUAGUACGGGAAGAAUUAAAGGCCAUGCUUGAUAUGGGAGUAAUAGAAUAAUCCCACAGUUAUUGGGCCAGCCCGGUGGUUCUGGUGCCUAAGAGCGAUGGCUUGGUCAGAUUCUGUGUAGAUUAUAGAAAAGUCAAUGCAGUGUCGUAUUGAAUGCAUAUCCAAUGCCUCAUAUUGACAAACUGCUCAAUCGGUUGGGUGCAGUCCUCUUUUACUCGACAAUGGAGUUAACAAAGGGCUAUUGGCAAAUCCCCUUAAUUCCGAUGUCCCAUGAGAAAACGGCCUUCUCCACACCAUUUGGAUUACACCAAUUUGUGACCCUUCCAUUCGGUUUGUCUGGGGCUCCGGCUACGUUUCAGCAUCUUAUGGACAGAGUCCUCAAACUGCACGCUGCGUAUGCCGCUGCUUAUUUGGAUGAAAUUAUUAUUUACAGUUAUGAUUGGCAGUGGCACAUGCAGCAUCAGGGGCGGUUCUGAGGUCACUGCGAUCAGUGGGGCUCACAGCAAACCCGAAGAAGUGCGCAAUUGGAUGGGUGGAGGUACGAUAUAUGGGGUUCCACUUGGGGCACGGGCAGGUGUGACCCCAAAUUGAUAAAACCGCAGCGAUUGUGAUCUGCCUGAGACCUAAGACUAAAAAAGGAGAUGAGACAUUUCUUGUGGCUGGCUGGCUAUUAUCGAAGGUUUGUGCCUAAUUAUUCGGAUGUCACCAGCCCGCUGACUGAUCUCACCAAAAAGGGAGCUCCAGACUCAAUCCAGUGGACAGAGCUGUGCCAACAGGCUUUCACACAGUGAGAGUCGUGGGAGAAAAAAGACAGCCCAGUCCACAGAAAGAGAGAGAGAAGAGUGACACACCAGAGACUGUGUAUUUGUGAUCAGAGACUUUUUAUGAUUAUUGCAGAAAAGCUUGACUUGGUUUCAAUUAAUGCUGAAAAGCAGUCUUUUGUUUGAUAUAUACUGGAAAGUGAUUUCUGUUUUAUUUUAAUAAAAUCUGACUCACCUGGAUCGUGGAAACCAGCUCCUGCUUCCUCCUGUAUCUGCCAGACAACGAACCUUUGUUACAGUUAUAUAAUAUAAACUAUUAUCUGUUUGACCCUUUCAACAGCAUGAUUGAAAUUUCAUUAAAGUUCUUAAGGCCACGUCCACACUUAUCGGUUUAAGUUUGAAAACUCCAUUUUCAGUGCCAUCCCUGUGUGGAUGAGAGCCAUUAACUUAGCGAAAUUAAUGCUUUUUUAAAUGUACAUGAAUAAGUGUUGACGUGGCCUUAAGUGUUUGUUUUUUAUGAACAAAAACAAUAACAGAAUGGAGAGACAAAAACAAAGAGAGAGAGAAGAGAGGGAAAAAGAACAAUAGCAAAAAGUGAAUGUGGUCUAGCGAAAUAAGCGUUAUAAGCUAACACACUCCAUUUCAAUUAAUACAAGUAAACACAGCAUAGUUGUAGUCAUAGGCUUAUUAUGAUGUCAGGAGGAGUAUUCAGUUCUCUAAGUAUUAAAAAAAAAUGGGGACCACAUAUCAUGUAUUGAUACAGUUAAUUUUUCCAGUG
Myxocyprinus asiaticus (Chinese sucker) is the source of this 3127-nucleotide long non-coding RNA. RefSeq lists it as uncharacterized. The record is from RefSeq and is a predicted model, not a curated record. Lineage: Eukaryota; Metazoa; Chordata; Actinopteri; Cypriniformes; Catostomidae. The transcript has 3 exons.